Molecule: non-coding RNA, 135 nt
Organism: Triticum aestivum (bread wheat)
Lineage: Eukaryota; Viridiplantae; Streptophyta; Magnoliopsida; Poales; Poaceae
Source: Rfam
CAACUACUCCCUCUGUCCCAAAUUUCUUGUCUUAGAUUUGUCUAGAUACGGAUGUAUCUAAUACUAAAAUGUGACUUGAUACAUCCGUAUCUAGACAAAUCUAAGACAAGAAUUUUGGGACCGAUGGAGUACUUU